CGGACUGCUUGCCUCCCAGC
RNAcentral lists this unclassified non-coding RNA (20 nucleotides) under Chlamydomonas reinhardtii. Its description in RNAcentral is "small RNA Cre_1295". The record is from RNAcentral. Lineage: Eukaryota; Viridiplantae; Chlorophyta; Chlorophyceae; Chlamydomonadales; Chlamydomonadaceae.